AGGGCGCACGGUGGAUGCCUUGGCACUAGGAGCCGAUGAAGGACGGGACUAACACCGAUAUGCUUCGGGGAGCUGUAAGUAAGCUUUGAUCCGGAGAUUUCCGAAUGGGGAAACCCAGCAUCUUUUAUAGGAUGUUACUUUUCAGUGAAUACAUAGCUGAUUAGAGGUAGACGCAGAGAACUGAAACAUCUAAGUACCUGCAGGAAGAGAAAGAAAAAUCGAUUCCCUGAGUAGCGGCGAGCGAAACGGGAAAAGCCCAAACCAAGAGGCUUGCCUCUUGGGGUUGUAGGACUCCGAUAUGGUAGUCCAGUGAGAUAGUCGAAGGACCUGGAAAGGUCUGCUAGAAAGGGUAAAAGCCCCGUAGACAAAAUUUGACUGGCACCUAGGAGGAUCCUGAGUACGGCGGAACACGAGGAAUUCCGUCGGAAUCCGGGAGGACCAUCUCCCAAGGCUAAAUACUCCCUAGUGACCGAUAGUGAACCAGUACCGUGAGGGAAAGGUGAAAAGCACCCCGGAAGGGGAGUGAAAUAGAUCCUGAAACCGUGUGCCUACAACAAGUUAGAGCCCGUUAAUGGGUGAUAGCGUGCCUUUUGUAGAAUGAACCGGCGAGUUACGAUUACUUGCGAGGUUAAGUUGAAAAGACGGAGCCGCAGCGAAAGCGAGUCUGAAUAGGGCGAAUGAGUAAGUGGUCGUAGACCCGAAACCAUGUGAUCUACCCAUGUCCAGGUUGAAGGUGCGGUAAAACGCACUGGAGGACCGAACCCACGUACGUUGAAAAGUGCGGGGAUGAGGUGUGGGUAGCGGAGAAAUUCCAAACGAACUUGGAGAUAGCUGGUUCUCUCCGAAAUAGCUUUAGGGCUAGCCUCAGAGUAAGAAUGAUGGAGGUAGAGCACUGUUUGGACUAGGGGCCCAUCUCGGGUUACCGAAUUCAGAUAAACUCCGAAUGCCAUCCAUUCAUCUCUGGGAGUCAGACUGUGAGUGAUAAGAUCCAUAGUCGAAAGGGAAACAGCCCAGACCACCAGCUAAGGUCCCCAAAUAACUAUUAAGUGGAAAAGGAUGUGGGGUUGCACAGACAACUAGGAUGUUGGCUUAGAAGCAGCCACCAUUUAAAGAGUGCGUAAUAGCUCACUAGUCGAGUGACCCUGCGCCGAAAAUGUACCGGGGCUAAACAUAUUACCGAAGCUGUGGAGUACACCAUGAGGUGUAUUGGUAGGAGAGCGUUCUAAGGGCGUUGAAGGCAGAUCGUGAGGACUGCUGGAGCGCUUAGAAGUGAGAAUGCCGGUAUGAGUAGCGAAAGACAGGUGAGAAUCCUGUCCACCGAAUGACUAAGGUUUCCUGGGGAAGGCUCGUCCGCCCAGGGUUAGUCGGGACCUAAGCCGAGGCCGACAGGCGUAGGCGAUGGACAACAGGUUGAUAUUCCUGUACCCGUUGUUUUUGUUUGAGCAAUGGAGGGACGCAGGAGGCUAAGGAAUCAGACGAUUGGAAAUGUCUGUCCAAGCAAUGAGUCUUGAUGUGAGUCAAAUGCUUACAUCUCUAAGGACAAGUUGUGAUGGGGAGGGAAAUAACAGUACCGAAGUUCCUGAUGUCACACUGCCGAGAAAAGCUUCUAGUGAGAAAACAAUGGCCCGUACCGCAAACCGACACAGGUAGUCGAGGAGAGAAUCCUAAGGUGAGCGAGAGAACUCUCGUUAAGGAACUCGGCAAAAUGACCCCGUAACUUCGGGAGAAGGGGUGCUGAUCUAACGAUCAGCCGCAGUGAAUAGGCCCAAGCGACUGUUUAUCAAAAACACAGGUCUCUGCAAAAUCGAAAGAUGACGUAUAGGGGCUGACGCCUGCCCGGUGCUGGAAGGUUAAGAGGAGUGCUUAGCGUAAGCGAAGGUACGAAUUGAAGCCCCAGUAAACGGCGGCCGUAACUAUAACGGUCCUAAGGUAGCGAAAUUCCUUGUCGGGUAAGUUCCGACCCGCACGAAAGGCGUAACGAUUUGGGCACUGUCUCAACGAGAGACUCGGUGAAAUUUUAGUACCUGUGAAGAUGCAGGUUACCCGCGACAGGACGGAAAGACCCCAUGGAGCUUUACUGUAGUUUGAUAUUGAGUGUCUGUACCGCAUGUACAGGAUAGGUAGGAGCCGUAGAAAUCGGAACGCUAGUUUCGAUGGAGGCGCUGGUGGGAUACUACCCCUGCGUUAUGGCCACUCUAACCCGCACCACUAAUCGUGGUGGGAGACAGUGUCAGAUGGGCAGUUUGACUGGGGCGGUCGCCUCCUAAAGAGUAACGGAGGCGCCCAAAGGUUCCCUCAGAAUGGUUGGAAAUCAUUCGCAGAGUGUAAAGGCACAAGGGAGCUUGACUGCGAGACCUACAAGUCGAGCAGGGACGAAAGUCGGGCUUAGUGAUCCGGUGGUUCCGCAUGGAAGGGCCAUCGCUCAACGGAUAAAAGCUACCCUGGGGAUAACAGGCUUAUCUCCCCCAAGAGUCCACAUCGACGGGGAGGUUUGGCACCUCGAUGUCGGCUCGUCGCAUCCUGGGGCUGUAGUCGGUCCCAAGGGUUGGGCUGUUCGCCCAUUAAAGCGGUACGCGAGCUGGGUUCAGAACGUCGUGAGACAGUUCGGUCCCUAUCCGUCGCGGGCGUAGGUAAUUUGAGAGGAUCUGUCCUUAGUACGAGAGGACCGGGAUGGACUUACCGCUGGUGUACCAGUUGUUCUGCCAAGGGCAUUGCUGGGUAGCUAUGUAGGGAAGGGAUAAACGCUGAAAGCAUCUAAGUGUGAAGCCCACCUCAAGAUGAGAUUUCCCAUUUCU
Molecule: ribosomal RNA, 2795 nt
Filed under: human gut metagenome
Description: bacterial LSU rRNA
Rfam family: Bacterial large subunit ribosomal RNA
Source: RNAcentral